UGGUUUCCAAUUCAACAUCAACUUGUUGUUGAACAAUUGCAACAUCAUUUUGAUACGCCACAUCUAAGACAUUGUCAAUUUCAAUUCUUCCCACAUGCUUACUUUUUAUAACAACCCACCAAUCAGCUUUGUCUCUACGCAAUGGAUAUGAAGCGUAAUACACUUGUUUAGCAUUUUGUGCAAUAAUAAAAGGAUCAUAACUUCUGU
This 207-nucleotide long non-coding RNA is filed under the name Solanum tuberosum (potato). RNAcentral describes it as "long non-coding RNA (STUB_LNC009657)". Lineage: Eukaryota; Viridiplantae; Streptophyta; Magnoliopsida; Solanales; Solanaceae. The record is from RNAcentral.